Molecule: ribosomal RNA, 440 nt
Filed under: uncultured bacterium
Lineage: Bacteria
Description: partial 16S ribosomal RNA
Rfam family: Bacterial small subunit ribosomal RNA
Source: RNAcentral
CCUACGGGUGGCUGCAGUGGGGAAUAUUGCACAAUGGGGGAAACCCUGAUGCAGCGACGCCGCGUGAGUGAAGAAGUAUUUCGGUAUGUAAAGCUCUAUCAGCAGGGAAGAAAAUGACGGUACCUGAGUAAGAAGCCCCGGCUAACUACGUGCCAGCAGCCGCGGUAAUACGUAGGGGGCAAGCGUUAUCCGGAUUUACUGGGUGUUAAGGGAGCGUAGACGGCAGGACAAGUCUGGAGUGAAAUGCCGGGGCUUAACCGCGGAACUGCUUUUGAUACUGUGCAGCUAGAGUGCAGGUGAGGUAAGUGGAAUUCCUAGUGUAGCGGUGAAAUGCGUAGAUAUUAGGAAGAACACCAGUGGCGAAGGCAGCUUACUAGACUGUAACUGACAUUGAGGCUCGAAAGCGUGGGGAGCAAACAGGAUUAGAUACCCGAGUAGUC